GGGCGCUUAGCUCAGCUGGUCAGAGCGCUUCGUUUACACCGAAGAGGUCGGGGGUUCGAGUCCCUCAGCGCCCA
This 74-nucleotide transfer RNA is filed under the name Anaerolineae bacterium. RNAcentral describes it as "tRNA-Val". It matches the Rfam family "tRNA". From Rfam's summary of the family: Transfer RNA (tRNA) molecules are approximately 80 nucleotides in length. Their secondary structure includes four short double-helical elements and three loops (D, anti-codon, and T loops). Lineage: Bacteria; Bacillati; Chloroflexota; Anaerolineae. RNAcentral also lists the same sequence under 1 other name. The record is from RNAcentral.